CCUACCAUGCAGUCGAGCGGUAGCACAGAGAAGCUUGCUUCUUGGGUGACGAGCGGCGGACGGGUGAGUAAUGCAUAGGAAUCUGCCCGAUAGUGGGGGAUAACCUGGGGAAACCCAGGCUAAUACCGCAUACGUCCUACGGGAGAAAGGGGGCUCCGGCUCCCGCUAUUGGAUGAGCCUAUGUCGGAUUAGCUAGUUGGUGAGGUAAAGGCUCACCAAGGCAACGAUCCGUAGCUGGUCUGAGAGGAUGAUCAGCCACAUCGGGACUGAGACACGGCCCGAACUCCUACGGGAGGCAGCAGUGGGGAAUAUUGGACAAUGGGCGCAAGCCUGAUCCAGCCAUGCCGCGUGUGUGAAGAAGGCCUUCGGGUUGUAAAGCACUUUCAGCGAGGAAGAACGCCUAGUGGUUAAUACCCAUUAGGAAAGACAUCACUCGCAGAAGAAGCACCGGCUAACUCCGUGCCAGCAGCCGCGGUAAUACGGAGGGUGCGAGCGUUAAUCGGAAUUACUGGGCGUAAAGCGCGCGUAGGUGGCUUGAUAAGCCGGUUGUGAAAGCCCCGGGCUCAACCUGGGAACGGCAUCCGGAACUGUCAAGCUAGAGUGCAGGAGAGGAAGGUAGAAUUCCCGGUGUAGCGGUGAAAUGCGUAGAGAUCGGGAGGAAUACCAGUGGCGAAGGCGGCCUUCUGGACUGACACUGACACUGAGGUGCGAAAGCGUGGGUAGCAAACAGGAUUAGAUACCCUGGUAGUCCACGCCGUAAACGAUGUCGACCAGCCGUUGGGUGCCUAGCGCACUUUGUGGCGAAGUUAACGCGAUAAGUCGACCGCCUGGGGAGUACGGCCGCAAGGUUAAAACUCAAAUGAAUUGAC
RNAcentral lists this ribosomal RNA (869 nucleotides) under Halomonas sp. PS2(2010). RNAcentral describes it as "bacterial SSU rRNA". It matches the Rfam family "Bacterial small subunit ribosomal RNA", at positions 47 to 914 of the family's 1533-position model. The record is from RNAcentral. Lineage: Bacteria; Pseudomonadati; Pseudomonadota; Gammaproteobacteria; Oceanospirillales; Halomonadaceae.